This 793-nucleotide long non-coding RNA is filed under the name Salvia miltiorrhiza (redroot sage). Its description in RNAcentral is "long non-coding RNA (SMIL_LNC012003)". The record is from RNAcentral. Lineage: Eukaryota; Viridiplantae; Streptophyta; Magnoliopsida; Lamiales; Lamiaceae.
AUCAGUCGAGCCCUAGAUCUCAGAAAAGGGGAAAUCGCCCAGUUCGAGCGUUUGCUGCUCCGGGCCACGACGCCGGCCGUUCUCUCUCGGCCAUGGUUCCAGUUGGCCUCAGUGAUUAUCCAGCUCCGACGCCCUGAAUUUCUGGCGAGUCGCCGCUGCUGUCACGCCCUUGUCUCGAAUCCGGCGAGUCAGCCGGCGAUGGUCGUACUCGCCUCUCCUCUCGUCUCAACCAUGAAAGGGAAGCAAAGCCCUAACUCUUUCCCUGAAGUUCAAACUGAUUUUCUCCCUUAAUAAUCGAUCGACUCCUACUGCUCAAAACCGGUCUGCGUCGUUGCUGCUACGUUCCUCCCGGCGGCAGGUGAAGGCCCGCCGAUCCGCUGCUGUUGCCGGAGUUUAAUGGAGCAGUAAGUGUUUGCCGUCGCCAUCUUCUUUUCCCGUUCGGCAGUAGGUGGUUCGCUGCCCCUUGGGCAGCCGACCCUUCCCUCCUUUAAAGCUAAGUAACUCCCUCUCAAUCCAUUUAAUCGAUUCUUAAUCAGACAAGCAAGGUGAAAUCUUCUUGUUUUGCUUACAUCUCAAAUUAUGGUCGUUUAAAACUUCAUAUGAAUUGUCACUUGCUCAUAAAAGCGUAGUUGGCGUAAUUACUAAGUUCCAGAUACUAUAAGGUCUUCUAUGAUUGAACUGAUCAUGCCCAUGCUUUAAUAUGAAUGUUUACUGGAAAUGAUAUUUGAGAUUGUGAAUUACCUUGCGAAUGUUUUGGGCUUGGUUGGCUGCUGUGAUGUUGAGUUAAAAGAAC